This 76-nucleotide transfer RNA is filed under the name Siphoviridae sp. ctAeS79. Its description in RNAcentral is "tRNA-Trp". It matches the Rfam family "tRNA". From Rfam's summary of the family: Transfer RNA (tRNA) molecules are approximately 80 nucleotides in length. Their secondary structure includes four short double-helical elements and three loops (D, anti-codon, and T loops). The record is from RNAcentral. Lineage: Duplodnaviria; Heunggongvirae; Uroviricota; Caudoviricetes.
ACUCCGGUAGCUCAAGUGGUAGAGCAGCGGUCUCCAAAACCGCAGGUUGCAGGUUCGAGCCCUGCCGGGAGUGCCA